Molecule: unclassified non-coding RNA, 1289 nt
Organism: Bombyx mandarina (wild silkworm)
Lineage: Eukaryota; Metazoa; Arthropoda; Insecta; Lepidoptera; Bombycidae
Source: RefSeq, a predicted model, not a curated record
UGUUGUUUGGGCGUAGGAAAACCAUCUGUUUGAUAAUGAGUCAUCAACUCCCAGUAUCUUGUAUUCCAAACACAGGCAAGAUGUCGAAAGCUAAAAAAGUUAUUGAAGAAGCCAAAGAAAUAAAUAAUCCGGAAAUCGAUUUAGUAGACAAAGGAAUAUCUAGUCUCGAAGAGAUUCCAGGCUUAUUUUCUCUGGAGAACAUCACUCGUCUGUCCCUAAGCCACAACAAAAUCUCUGUAGUGCCUGCUGCACUAGCCAACUUGAGCAACUUAGAAAUUCUAAACUUGGCCAAUAACAACAUUCAAGAGCUCCCAGUCAGUUUAUCAUCACUACCAAAGUUAAGGAUCCUCAAUGUUUCAUUAAACAAACUGUAUAACUUGCCGAGGGGUUUUGGUUCCUUCCCUGUACUAGAGAUAUUGGAUCUAACAUACAAUAAUUUGAAUGAAAAAGUAUUACCUGGGAACUUCUUUAUUAUGGACAGUCUCCGUGCUUUGUAUUUGGGUGACAAUGAUUUUGAAUUUCUACCACCUGAAAUUGGAAAUUUGAAGAAUCUACAAAUUUUGUCGAUGCGCGAGAACGACCUGAUAGAAGUUCCCCGGGAGCUGGGGCAGCUGGCGCGCCUCCGCGAGCUGCAUCUGCAGGGGAACCGCCUCGUCGUGCUGCCGCCGGAGAUCGGAACAUUGGACCUCGCCAGCAACAAGUCAGUGCUGAGGCUGGAAGGUAACUUCUGGGUGCCGCCCAUCGAAGACCAGCUCAAGCUGGGGCCGUCCCACGUGCUGGACUACCUGCGCUCAGAGACCUACAAAGUCCUGUACAGCCGCCACAUGUCGGCCAAGCCGCCGCCGCCGCCGCAGACCGUCGACAAGAGCAAGAAGGCGAGUCGCGCCGCCUAACCGCCGCCCCCCAACCCCCCGCCCCCGCCGCGGGACUACUAACACCCCCUAACAAGAUGCGACGACAAAAUAAUGAAGAUUAAUAAGUCUCAUAGUCUGACACACGGGGAGCCCGGCCCGGACCGACACACCUGUACCUGCCUUUAUUCACUGAACCGCAGAGAACAAGUGGCUAAAUACUUCAGAAUUGGUGCUACGACACACCUGCAAUGUGCAAUGCUAAUGUAGUCAUUUAUUAACUAAUCAAAAUAAAAUUAGACUGUUUAUUUAUAUUCUAUUAAUAGCAUGUCGUUUAUAUAGUUUAAACUUUCAUAGUAUAACGCUUGAGUGAAAUCAAUACUACUAAUAUUGACCAAAAAUUUGACAAUUCCAGUUCUGUGCAUAAAUACAAAAAAU